RNAcentral lists this ribosomal RNA (253 nucleotides) under uncultured bacterium. Its description in RNAcentral is "partial 16S ribosomal RNA". It matches the Rfam family "Bacterial small subunit ribosomal RNA", at positions 524 to 776 of the family's 1533-position model. The record is from RNAcentral.
UACGUAGGGGGCAAGCGUUGUCCGGAAUCAUUGGGCGUAAAGAGCGUGUAGGCGGUUAGGUAGGUCCGUUGUGAAAACUCGAGGCUCAACCUCGAGACGCCGAUGGAAACCAUCUGACUAGAGUCCGGAAGAGGAGAGUGGAAUUCCUGGUGUAGCGGUGAAAUGCGCAGAUAUCAGGAAGAACACCCGUGGCUAAGGCGGCUCUCUAGUACGUGACUGACGCUGAGACGCGAAAGCGUGGGGAGCGAACAGG